GAAUGCUGACAUAAGUAACGAUAAAGCGGGUGAAAAGCCCGCUCGCCGGAAGACCAAGGGUUCCUGUCCAACGUUAAUCGGGGCAGGGUGAGUCGACCCCUAAGGCGAGGCCGAAAGGCGUAGUCGAUGGGAAACGGGUUAAUAUUCCCGUACUUGGUGUUACUGCGAAGGGGGGACGGAGAAGGCUAUGUUGGCCGGGCGACGGUUGUCCCGGUUUAAGCGUGUAGGUGUGUGUUCCAGGUAAAUCCGGUUCACUUUAACACUGAGGCGUGACGACGAGGCACUACGGUGCUGAAGCAACAAAUGCCCUGCUUCCAGGAAAAGCCUCUAAGCAUCAGGUAACAUCAAAUCGUACCCCAAACCGACACAGGUGGUCAGGUAGAGAAUACCAAGGCGCUUGAGAGAACUCGGGUGAAGGAACUAGGCAAAAUGGUGCCGUAACUUCGGGAGAAGGCACGCUGACACGUAGGUGAAGUGAUUUACUCAUGGAGCUGAAGUCAGUCGAAGAUACCAGCUGGCUGCAACUGUUUAUUAAAAACACAGCACUGUGCAAACACGAAAGUGGACGUAUACGGUGUGACGCCUGCCCGGUGCCGGAAGGUUAAUUGAUGGGGUCAGCGCAAGCGAAGCUCCUGAUCGAAGCCCCGGUAAACGGCGGCCGUAACUAUAACGGUCCUAAGGUAGCGAAAUUCCUUGUCGGGUAAGUUCCGACCUGCACGAAUGGCGUAAUGAUGGCCAGGCUGUCUCCACCCGAGACUCAGUGAAAUUGAACUCGCUGUGAAGAUGCAGUGUACCCGCGGCAAGACGGAAAGACCCCGUGAACCUUUACUAUAGCUUGACACUGAACAUUGAGCCUUGAUGUGUAGGAUAGGUGGGAGGCUUUGAAGUGUGGACGCCAGUCUGCAUGGAGCCGACCUUGAAAUACCACCCUUUAAUGUUUGAUGUUCUAACGUGGACCCGUUACCCGGGUUGCGGACAGUGUCUGGUGGGUAGUUUGACUGGGGCGGUCUCCUCCUAAAGAGUAACGGAGGAGCACGAAGGUUGGCUAAUCCUGGUCGGACAUCAGGAGGUUAGUGCAAUGGCAUAAGCCAGCUUGACUGCGAGCGUGACGGCGCGAGCAGGUGCGAAAGCAGGUCAUAGUGAUCCGGUGGUUCUGAAUGGAAGGGCCAUCGCUCAACGGAUAAAAGGUACUCCGGGGAUAACAGGCUGAUACCGCCCAAGAGUUCAUAUCGACGGCGGUGUUUGGCACCUCGAUGUCGGCUCAUCACAUCCUGGGGCUGAAGUAGGUCCCAAGGGUAUGGCUGUUCGCCAUUUAAAGUGGUACGCGAGCUGGGUUUAGAACGUCGUGAGACAGUUCGGUCCCUAUCUGCCGUGGGCGCUGGAGAACUGAGGGGGGCUGCUCCUAGUACGAGAGGACCGGAGUGGACGCAUCACUGGUGUUCGGGUUGUCAUGCCAAU
This 1458-nucleotide ribosomal RNA is filed under the name Salmonella enterica. RNAcentral's name for it is "partial 23S ribosomal RNA". It matches the Rfam family "Bacterial large subunit ribosomal RNA", at positions 1292 to 2733 of the family's 2925-position model. Lineage: Bacteria; Pseudomonadati; Pseudomonadota; Gammaproteobacteria; Enterobacterales; Enterobacteriaceae. The record is from RNAcentral. RNAcentral also lists the same sequence under 1 other name.